This 301-nucleotide ribosomal RNA is filed under the name uncultured bacterium. Its description in RNAcentral is "partial 16S ribosomal RNA". It matches the Rfam family "Bacterial small subunit ribosomal RNA", at positions 509 to 808 of the family's 1533-position model. The record is from RNAcentral.
CAGCCGCCGCGGGAAAACAGAGGGUGCGAGCGUUAAUCGGAUUUACUGGGCGUAAAGCGUGCGUAGGCGGCUUUUUAAGUCGGAUGUGAAAUCCCUGAGCUUAACUUAGGAAUUGCAUUCGAUACUGGGAAGCUAGAGUAUGGGAGAGGAUGGUAGAAUUCCAGGUGUAGCGGUGAAAUGCGUAGAGAUCUGGAGGAAUACCGAUGGCGAAGGCAGCCAUCUGGCCUAAUACUGACGCUGAGGUACGAAAGCAUGGGGAGCAAACAGGAUUAGAUACCCCCGUAGUCCCUGUCUCUUAACA